UGAUACAUUCACGAUUGAGGAUUGGGA
RNAcentral lists this small RNA (27 nucleotides) under Bombyx mori (domestic silkworm). RNAcentral describes it as "ovarian small RNA-32377". The record is from RNAcentral. Lineage: Eukaryota; Metazoa; Arthropoda; Insecta; Lepidoptera; Bombycidae.